Molecule: ribosomal RNA, 528 nt
Filed under: Enterobacteriaceae bacterium 55
Lineage: Bacteria; Pseudomonadati; Pseudomonadota; Gammaproteobacteria; Enterobacterales; Enterobacteriaceae
Description: bacterial SSU rRNA
Rfam family: Bacterial small subunit ribosomal RNA
Source: RNAcentral
UGGAGAGUUUGAUCCUGGCUCAGAUUGAACGCUGGCGGCAGGCCUAACACAUGCAAGUCGAACGGUAACAGGAAGCAGCUUGCUGCUUYGCUGACGAGUGGCGGACGGGUGAGUAAUGUCUGGGGAUCUGCCUGAUGGAGGGGGAUAACUACUGGAAACGGUAGCUAAUACCGCAUAACGUCGCAAGACCAAAGAGGGGGACCUUCGGGCCUCUUGCCAUCAGAUGAACCCAGAUGGGAUUAGCUAGUAGGUGGGGUAACGGCUCACCUAGGCGACGAUCCCUAGCUGGUCUGAGAGGAUGACCAGCCACACUGGAACUGAGACACGGUCCAGACUCCUACGGGAGGCAGCAGUGGGGAAUAUUGCACAAUGGGCGCAAGCCUGAUGCAGCCAUGCCGCGUGUAUGAAGAAGGCCUUCGGGUUGUAAAGUACUUUCAGCGAGGAGGAAGGUGGUGAGUUUAAUACRCUCAUCAAUUGACGUUACUCGCAGAAGAAGCACCGGCUAACUCCGUGCCAGCAGCCGCGGUA